AGAAAGAGAGACUGAGAGAAAAGAGAGACAGAGGAAUAGAGAGGCAGAGAACGGAGAAAGAGAGAGAGAUCGAGAGAUCAAAAACUGCAGUUUGCAAUCAAGAAUGAAAAGAUGUGUCUCACUUUCUGUCAGAUUUAUUCAUCUAACUGUCCGCUAAUUUCUUUCCCUGGAAUAAGAAGAAGUAAGGAAGAUGAAGCGUCAAGAACGAAGGGGAGUCAAGAAUGAAAUAGAGGGGCAGAGAUAGAGAGAAGGGCGCCACCCAGAUCUUCUGCCAUCACCGUAAGCCUCCACUCACUACCUGACUAUCGGAACCGGAAUCGCUACUGAAAUAGAGAGAGGCGAUGAAACAGAGAAAGGCGAUGAGUACGCGGAGAAAGAAGCAGAGAAAGAGAGAGGCGAUGAAAUCAAAAAGUUUCAUUAAACAAUUUUGCAGGCCCAAAACCUUGGCAGAAUGGUAAACAGAGAAGGCACGGAGUGGGGGCUGGGUAGAGAAAAAUCUGCCACCAUCAGAGAGAUAGGCUGUGUACCCAUAACCAGUAAAGAAACAGAGGUCUCUUCUCACGAAACCUUGCAGCAAGUUGUUCUCGCAGGUCCAACACAGAUUCUGAUUGCUGUUUGAUAAAAUUCUUCAAGUGAUGUUUGUUGGCCUUUUUUCUUCUCUUCCCCAAUGAUGAUUAGCCCAAAGCACCGACUCCUUCAAGGUGGUUGACAACUUUCAUUGUGAUUUGAUGGUUGGGUUGUGUACAUGAAAGCUUCUUAGAGAGCAACUUGGCUAUUGUUGGUGGCAGUGUACAUUUAAUUUGGAAGGAUUGUCAAGAGUUGGUCUAGAAUUUCCCACAGCCAAGGUGGGAUGCAAAAUUGGGUGUGGAUACAUAGCUUGAGGUCAUUCACAGUGAAAGCUCCUACCUAUGCCUUGGAAUUUUUUUAAGAGCAUGCUCUGUAAGUACUUUUAUUCUGUUUUGAGAUGAUUAAAGCUUUAUCAUAAUUAUCUCAUUGGAAUUUUGGCAUGGUUAAAAAAGGGGCAGCAAGGUAUAUAAAUGUGCACAUGCAUAAAUAUUUGUAUGUAUCAGUCCCGCCAAUUUGUAGUAAAGAAUUAUUAUCUUCAACUAUAAGAUUUAAAAUAUAUAUAUUGUUUCUUUAGCCAAUCUGAUUAUUUUGGUUUUGAUGUAAUAAUAUUAUUCUUAUUUUUCUUUUUGGAAGGCAUAACAAAUUGAAGAUAUACUAUAUGAUAGUAGGUCUAAAACAAAACUAAAAAAUUAAACUAAAAUCAAAGUAGAAAUUUUAUUCAUAUAUAUAUAUAUAUUGUUUUGCUUUCAAAGUUGGCUAAAUUAAUAAUGUCUAUCAUGUGUUGGAUGGAAUUCAUGAUAUAUGUAAUGGUUAGUGGAACUCAUUUGCUGUUUCAUAUAUCAAUGUUUAGUAUUUUUAAAAUAGGCAAAUACUUCCAUUCUUCAUAUUUUUAUAAUAGGUCUUGAUGCCUACAACGUCCCAUUAAAGAUUAUGCCACUUAGUUUAGUGUUUUCUUAUAUAUUGUUCAAUAUAUAUUUGGCAGCCAAAACAGAUUCAUUUCGAAUUGAAUAAAUUUUUUAUUUCAGUUGUUUUCAAUAACUGAAAUUUAGUUUGCUUUUGGAC
Quercus lobata is the source of this 1629-nucleotide long non-coding RNA. RefSeq lists it as uncharacterized. The record is from RefSeq and is a predicted model, not a curated record. The transcript is spliced from 7 exons. Lineage: Eukaryota; Viridiplantae; Streptophyta; Magnoliopsida; Fagales; Fagaceae.